GCGCGGGGCAGAGGCAGGGGGGCGGGAGAGACCUCCCCGCACCGGCGCGGUUACCGACCUCGGGCUCUUCCGUGGUGUCCGGUGGGCGGGGCUUGUCCGGUGGGCAGGGCUAGGAGGCGCCCGCUGCCGGUUCGGUCCCGCUAGAGGCGGGCUUGCACCGGGAGUCCGAGUGUGCAAACGGCCUCCCCGCCUUCGCCCCCCUCCCCGUUCCCGCGCCUGCAGCUCCGGCUGAGCCCGGCUACCCGCGAGGGAGAGGCAGCGCGAACUACAGUUCCCAGCAUGCACCGCAGAUGGGUUUUUCUCCCCUCCCUCCUCCGCUUUUUACUGACCCGGAAGCAUCAGCGACUCACUUCCGGGUGCGGGUUACUCUAUGGGACUACAGCUCCCAGAAUGCCGCGCGCCAUUGUAGGCCCGCCCGCCCCUUCCACGGGGUCGCUGCAGGAUGGAGAGGCGGGAAGAGAGCGCGAGCGGCUUCAGGAAGGAAACUGUUAACAAAAUACUUCAUCUCCAUUUCAAAGAUGACAAAACUCGAGUCAGCAGUGAUGCUUUGCUGCUAAUGGCAGAAAUGCUGAAUGUGUUUGUUCGAGAAGCUGCAGCUCGCAGCGCACGGCAGGCUCAAGCUGAGGACUUGGACAGGGUGGAUAUUGAACACGUGGAGAAAGUGCUGCCACAGCUGCUUCUGGAUUUUUAGAGGCCUGAUCAAGCAGAAUGGGAUGCAUCAGCUGCUAAGAGGAGAAAGUCCUGACCUGGGAGUUAAUCUGAUACCAAAUGUCUGGACUGGCAUCCUGUUUAACUAUGGGGAUGGGCAUUGUUGUUGCUUCACUAUGCCCUUGCCAUCUUGCUGCAGUAGCAGCUGCUUCCUCACCCCUCUCAUCUGAGCAGAGCAAGCCCUCAGCAACUGCAAAGAGUAAGAUGCCAUUCUAAAAAGGAUGUUGCACAUUUUGAUUGUUGUAAACCAAAUGACUAUUGCAGGGCAUCUUGCCCUCAAAAGCUGGGUCCCAUCCUGCUCCUGCAGUAGCAGUUUGCAGUUCACAGCCCAGAAUGAAUAGCAUGGCCAAAGCACUGCUACUUUCUCUACCAGUGAAAGAAACAGGUGCCACUCUGUGGAAAGAGUGAGUGGCUGGAACCCUUCCUCUAGCUGUGGGCUCUCAUCACCUCAGCAGGCUGCUAUGGCAGGGGUUUAAAGUCCAAUUCCGUGGCUGUCGGAGUAGUUUAGUUAAACAGGCGCUCAGCUGAAGGUCUGUGCCAAAAGCAGGUACCUGAUCUUUAUUUUAUAAAUAAACAGUGCGUCUCCCCCA
This 1298-nucleotide long non-coding RNA is filed under the name Chrysemys picta bellii (western painted turtle). RNAcentral describes it as "lncRNA (ENSCPBG00000011518.1)". The record is from RNAcentral. Lineage: Eukaryota; Metazoa; Chordata; Testudines; Emydidae.